Molecule: non-coding RNA, 165 nt
Filed under: Fragilariopsis kerguelensis
Lineage: Eukaryota; Bacillariophyta; Bacillariophyceae; Bacillariales; Bacillariaceae
Source: RNAcentral
CAAAGAAAGAAAGACGGAAAAUGAAAAAGGAAAGCACGAAAAACAAACCCCCAUAAUAAUUUUUUACCAACAACAACAAACAUAUGUUUUGCUACUUUCCCUAUCUCUCCUUAUUUUCCCUACAUAUCCAACCAACCAGAGCCUAUGUAAUAAAAUCCCGAAAGA